This 232-nucleotide ribosomal RNA is filed under the name uncultured bacterium. RNAcentral's name for it is "partial 16S ribosomal RNA". It matches the Rfam family "Bacterial small subunit ribosomal RNA", at positions 99 to 334 of the family's 1533-position model. The record is from RNAcentral.
CGGACGGGUGAGUAAUGUCUGGGGAACUGCCUGAUGGAGGGGGAUAACUACUGGAAACGGUAGCUAAUACCGCAUAACGUCGCAAGACCAAAGAGGGGGACCUUCGGGCCUCUUGCCAUCGGAUGUGCCCAGAUGGGAUUAGCUAGUAGGUGGGGUAACGGCUCACCUAGGCGACGAUCCCUAGCUGGUCUGAGAGGAUGACCAGCCACACUGGAACUGAGACACGGUCCAG